This 1113-nucleotide long non-coding RNA is filed under the name Ornithorhynchus anatinus (platypus). Its description in RNAcentral is "lncRNA (ENSOANG00000042284.1)". The record is from RNAcentral. Lineage: Eukaryota; Metazoa; Chordata; Mammalia; Monotremata; Ornithorhynchidae.
GAUUGCAGGGAGCCAGGGCUGUCAGGAAAAAAACACCGAAGGCGUUUGGGGAGGAACAGAGGAAGUGACAGCGGCAGCAGCGGGAGAGCAGAAGAGGGAAAGGGAGAAAGGAGAGAGGAAAAGGGAGGGGGGGAGAGGAGGAGAGGGAAAGGGAGGGGGGAAAGGAAAGGGAGAAAGGAGGAGGGAGAGAGAGAAAGGAGAGGGGAAAGGGAGAAAGGAGAGAGGGAAAGGGGGAGGAGAGGAGAGGGAAAGGGAGGGGGGAAGGAAAGGGAGAAAGGAGAGAGAGAAAGGAGGAAAGGGAGAAGAGAGGAGGGGAGAGGAGAAGGGAGAAAGGAGAGAGGAAGGGGAGAGGAGAGGAAGAGGGGAGACGGGAGGAGAGGGAAGGGGAGAAAGGAGGAGAGGGAAGGGGAGAAAGGAGGAGAGGGCGAGAGGGAAAGAGAAAGGAGGAGGGGAGAGGGAAAGGGAGAAAGGAAAGAGGGAAAGGGGGAGGAGAGGAAGAGAGGAGGAGAAGGAAAGGGAGAAAGGAGGGACAGAGAGAAAGGAGGAAAGGGAAAGGGAGAAAGGAGAAGAGGAAAAGGGAGAAAGGAGAGAGGGAAAGCAGGAGGACAGGAAGAGAGGGAAAGGGAAGGGGGGAAGAAAGAGAAAGCAGGAGAGACAGAGAGAAAGGAGGAGAGGGAAAGGGAGAAAAGGGGAGGGGGGAGAGGGCUAGGGAGAAGAGAAGGAGAGGAAAAGAGAGAAAGGGGGAGAGGAGGAGCGGUCGGGAGGGCUCCGGGAGGCGAAGGAGGGAGGGAAAGGGGGGAGGGGGCUGCAGAGCCCGAGGAGGAGGAGGAAGAGGAGAAGGUGGGACCGAGGGCUGGACGAGGGAGUGUGACGUUGCGCCGAGCGGGACCUUAUCAGCGGCGAGGCCGGGCUGGGGGUGGGGGGGUGGGGGUGGGAAGGGAGGGGAGGGGGCGGCCGGGACCAGAGCCGGAGGACCAGGGGACCGGCAGCGGAGGGCCAGCGUCGGGAGCGGAGGGCCGGGAGCGGGCGGGACCGGGAGCCGAGGGGCAGGGCCGGGCGGGAGCGGGCAGGGCGAGGCCCUCGGGGCCCGGACCGGGCGGAUGCGUUAGCCGG